This 520-nucleotide ribosomal RNA is filed under the name uncultured Glomus. RNAcentral's name for it is "SSU rRNA". It matches the Rfam family "Eukaryotic small subunit ribosomal RNA", at positions 569 to 1090 of the family's 1831-position model. The record is from RNAcentral. Lineage: Eukaryota; Fungi; Glomeromycota; Glomeromycetes; Glomerales; Glomeraceae.
AGCAGCCGCGGUAAUUCCAGCUCCAAUAGCGUAUAUUAAAGUUGUUGCAGUUAAAAAGCUCGUAGUUGAAUUUCGGGAUCAAUAUGUCGGUCGUGCCUUCGGUACGUACUGGCAUCAUUGGUUUCUCCCUUCUGACAAACCAUGAUGUCAUUAAUUUGGUGUUAUGGGGAGUUAGGACUGUUACUUUGAAAAAAUUAGAGUGUUUAAAGCAGGCAUUAGCUUGAAUACAUUAGCAUGGAAUAAUGAAAUAGGACGUUUGACCCUAUUUUGUUGGUUUCUAAGAUCGACGUAAUGAUUAAUAGGGAUAGUUGGGGGCAUUAGUAUUCAAUUGUCAGAGGUGAAAUUCUUGGAUUUAUUGAAGACUAACUACUGCGAAAGCAUUUGCCAAGGAUGUUUUCAUUAAUCAAGAACGAAAGUUAGGGGAUCGAAGACGAUCAGAUACCGUCGUGGUCUUAACCAUAAACUAUGCCGACUAGGGAUCGGAUGAUGUUAAUUUUUUAAUGACUCAUUCGGCGCCUUA